ACAUCCAGAGAAUUUAGCAGAGAUGCUUUAGUGCCUUCGGGAACUCUGAGACAGGUGCUGCAUGGCUGUCGUCAGCUCGUGUUGUGAAAUGUUGGGUUAAGUCCCGNAACGAGCGCAACCCCUAUCCUUUGUUGCCAGCGAUUCGGUCGGGAACUCAAAGGAGACUGCCGGUGAUAAACCGGAGGAAGGUGGGGAUGACGUCAAGUCAUCAUGGCCCUUACGAGUAGGGCUACACACGUGCUACAAUGGCGCAUACAAAGAGAAGCGACCUCGCGAGAGCAAGCGGACCUCAUAAAGUGCGUCGUAGUCCGGAUUGGAGUCUGCAACUCGACUCCAUGAAGUCGGAAUCGCUAGUAAUCGUAGAUCAGAAUGCUACGGUGAAUACGUUCCCGGGCCUUGUACACACCGCCCGUCACACCAUGGGAGUGGGUUGCAAAAGAAGUAGAUAGCUUAACCUUCGGGAGGGCGUUUACCACUUUGUGAUUCAUGACUGGGGUGAAGUCGUAACAAGGUAGGCGUACGUGU
Molecule: ribosomal RNA, 525 nt
Filed under: uncultured bacterium
Lineage: Bacteria
Description: bacterial SSU rRNA
Rfam family: Bacterial small subunit ribosomal RNA
Source: RNAcentral